AAUAUUUAAUAUCACAAUUAAAAUUCUAGAAUGUUACAUCAUUCCCUCCUUACAAGGAUUCUGUCCCCAGAAUCACAAUUCAAAUAAUUCAUUCGUCACAUUCUCCCCUACUUACAAAGAUUCUGCCCCUAGAAUCGAAGACACAGAUUAAACAAAUAACUCAGGGUAAUUCUUCAUCAUUUCAACUUCGAGUUCCCACGUAGCCUCUUCGGCAUUGUGGUUCCUCCAAAUUACCUUCACAGAAGGUAUCACCUUAUUCCUGAGCACUUGUUCUUUCCCGUCGACUAUCUGGAUAGGAACCUCUUCAUAGGACAAAUCUUUGUCAAACUGCAAUGGUUCACGUGCUUGUAAUCAGGUUUGUACGGUCGUAACACCAACACGUGAAAAACAUUAUGAAUGUUUUGCAACUCUGGAGGUAGAGCUACUUCGUAAGCUAUGACGCCCCCAAAAUAGGUAUACAUCACCCAUCUUGAGUCUCCAAAUACAUGGUACAUAAAUCAAAUACAACAUAAUUAUAUAAUUGUCG
Molecule: long non-coding RNA, 526 nt
Filed under: Panax ginseng (ginseng)
Lineage: Eukaryota; Viridiplantae; Streptophyta; Magnoliopsida; Apiales; Araliaceae
Description: long non-coding RNA (PGIN_LNC012019)
Source: RNAcentral